Molecule: non-coding RNA, 272 nt
Organism: Lactuca sativa (garden lettuce)
Lineage: Eukaryota; Viridiplantae; Streptophyta; Magnoliopsida; Asterales; Asteraceae
Source: RefSeq, a predicted model, not a curated record
GGCUUAUAUUGUGCUUCCAGUUUGUGAUCCUUCUCAGAACUGUUGUGUUGGUGUUGUUGAGUGUUUUAUGAAGCGCUCUGAUUGCUCUCUUGUGAUUUUCAAUCAGUUGAAUCACGCACUGGAGGUUUGCUCGAUUGAACGCGGUUGUUUACAAGUCUUCGCUUCAUCAUAUCCCUUAAUAACUUAUGUGAGUAAUCACUGAUUUAGUUAAUUGUGAUUUUAAGUUUCUUCUAGUGAAAUAUUCAUGUAUUACUGCUUUAUUGUGAGUAGAA